Molecule: transfer RNA, 74 nt
Filed under: Tieghemiomyces parasiticus
Lineage: Eukaryota; Fungi; Kickxellomycota; Dimargaritomycetes; Dimargaritales; Dimargaritaceae
Rfam family: tRNA
About the family: Transfer RNA (tRNA) molecules are approximately 80 nucleotides in length.
Source: Rfam by way of RNAcentral
ACUCAUUUAGCUUAAUUGGAUAAAGCAAUGAUCUUCUAAAUCAUAGAUUAAAAGUUCAAAUCUUUUAAUGAGUA